This 479-nucleotide ribosomal RNA is filed under the name uncultured anaerobic ammonium-oxidizing bacterium. Its description in RNAcentral is "bacterial SSU rRNA". It matches the Rfam family "Bacterial small subunit ribosomal RNA", at positions 364 to 833 of the family's 1533-position model. The record is from RNAcentral.
UUUCGCAAUGCCCGAAAGGGUGACGAAGCGACGCCGCGUGGGUGAGGAAGGCCUUCGGGUUGUAAAGCCCUGUCAGGAGUUAAGAAAUGUAAGUGCGCUAAUAUCGCAUUUAUCUGACGAAGGCUCCAAAGGAAGUCACGGCUAACUCUGUGCCAGCAGCCGCGGUAAUACAGAGGUGGCAAGCGUUGUUCGGAAUUAUUGGGCGUAAAGAGCACGUAGGUGGGUUUGUAAGUCAGAUGUGAAGGCCUUCUGUUCAACGGAAGAAUUGCAUCUGAAACUGCGAGUCUUGAGUGUAGGAGGGGAGAAUGGAACUUCUGGUGGAGCGGUGAAAUGCGUAGAUAUCAGAAGGAACGCCGGCGGCGAAAGCGAUUCUCUGGCCUAUUACUGACACUCAGUGUGCGAAAGCUAGGGGAGCAAACGGGAUUAGAUACCCCGGUAGUCCUAGCCGUAAACGAUGGGCACUAAGUAGAGGGGUUUUA